Molecule: transfer RNA, 75 nt
Filed under: Bulbochaete rectangularis var. hiloensis
Lineage: Eukaryota; Viridiplantae; Chlorophyta; Chlorophyceae; Oedogoniales; Oedogoniaceae
Description: tRNA-Asp
Rfam family: tRNA
About the family: Transfer RNA (tRNA) molecules are approximately 80 nucleotides in length. Their secondary structure includes four short double-helical elements and three loops (D, anti-codon, and T loops). Further hydrogen bonds mediate the characteristic L-shaped molecular structure. tRNAs have two regions of fundamental functional importance: the anti-codon, which is responsible for specific mRNA codon recognition, and the 3' end, to which the tRNAs corresponding amino acid is attached (by aminoacyl-tRNA synthetases). tRNAs cope with the degeneracy of the genetic code in two manners: having more than one tRNA (with a specific anti-codon) for a particular amino acid; and 'wobble' base-pairing, i.e. permitting non-standard base-pairing at the 3rd anti-codon position.
Source: RNAcentral
GAGAAUGUAGCACAGAUAGGUUAGCGCACUGGCCUGUCAAGUCAGAGGUCGCGGGUUCAAGUCCCGUCAUUCUCG